UGGGAAUAUUGGACAAUGGGCGCAAGCCUGAUCCAGCCAUGCCGCGUGAGUGAUGACGGCCUUAGGGUUGUAAAGCUCUUUCGCACGCGACGAUAAUGACGGUAGCGUGAGAAGAAGCCCCGGCUAACUUCGUGCCAGCAGCCGCGGUAAUACGAAGGGGGCUAGCGUUGUUCGGAAUCACUGGGCGUAAAGGGCGCGUAGGCGGCUUUGUAAGUCGGGGGUGAAAGCCUGUGGCUCAAACCACAGAAUUGCCUUCGAUACUGCAUGGCUUGAGACCGGAAGAGGUAAGUGGAACUGCGAGUGUAGAGGUGAAAUUCGUAGAUAUUCGCAAGAAACACCAGUGGCGAAGGCGGCUUACUGGUCCGGUUCUGACGCUGAGGCGCGAAAAGCGUGGGGAGCAAAACAGGAUUAGAUACCCUGGUAGUCCACGCCGUAAAACGAUGAAUGCCAGCCGUUGGACAGCUUGCUGUUCAGUGGCGCAGCUAACGCUUUAAGCAUUCCGCCUGGGGAGUACGGUCGCAAAGAUUAAAAACUC
This 535-nucleotide ribosomal RNA is filed under the name uncultured bacterium. RNAcentral describes it as "partial 16S ribosomal RNA". It matches the Rfam family "Bacterial small subunit ribosomal RNA", at positions 356 to 902 of the family's 1533-position model. The record is from RNAcentral.